Molecule: unclassified non-coding RNA, 309 nt
Filed under: Hevea brasiliensis (rubber tree)
Lineage: Eukaryota; Viridiplantae; Streptophyta; Magnoliopsida; Malpighiales; Euphorbiaceae
Source: RNAcentral
UGAUUAUCUAGAUCUUUUGACAUUAUAAAUAAUUUAGAAAUAAUGAUGGCCAUGGGUUUGUAGCUAUAUGAGUUUGACUUUAGGCUUUGUGGUAUGUGGGCUGAUAUUGAAUGGUCUGGAUCAUCUUGAUUGAUCAUCCUAACCGUUUCACCAAUAAAAUAACUGAGGUAUUUGAUACUUGAUAGGCAUGUUAAAAUUCUAAUUCCAUGCAUUUAAUGAUAAUUAAGCAAAUGCAAGAAUAAAAAAUUAAACAAAAUGCUUUUGGAUAGAGAUUAGUGAUGCUUUUAAGAAUCUUGUGCAGGGAAAGUG